This 991-nucleotide long non-coding RNA is filed under the name Salvator merianae (Argentine black and white tegu). RNAcentral describes it as "lncRNA (ENSSMRG00000020255.1)". Lineage: Eukaryota; Metazoa; Chordata; Lepidosauria; Squamata; Teiidae. The record is from RNAcentral.
UCACGGAAGACGCGGUCCCCGUCCCGCACCUGAAACUCCACGAAGACGGUGUCUGAUGGGCGAAUCCGGCUGGGAUUUUAUUUAUUUUUUUAGGGGUGGAGAAGGAUCCCCUUUUUUUGCCCUUUGGAAAAGAGGAGCAAGAUCGAAAUUAAAGGAGAAGGCGGAUUCCUUUCUCUGCUUUUCUCCGUUCCUAGGCUGAUCCUCGAUGCAUUGCGAUUUCUAUUUAAAAACAACAACAACAACCUGCUUUGAGCGCGCGUUUUCUGUGUGCCUGGAAACCGUGGGGGAGAUGCCGAUCCGGUCUUUUACAUGGUCGUUCUGCUUCAGAGCCAGCCAUGCAUUUUAUUUUUGCCUCUGUUUGCUUCACCUUUCCUUUGAUCUUAAAAUUUGCAUAUAUAUAUAUAUUAUUUUUUUUAAAUAAAAGCUUAUUUUUGCUUUGGCAGUGCACUCGAUUUUCCACAUUCCUUGGAGUAAUGGGGCGAACCUAAGCAGGUCGACUUGGAAAUAAGUUAGAUAUUGUGGGUGGCAAUAUCUAACUUGAGAAAAUGCACUCCUAAUACCUGACUACUUGGAAGUAAAUGGCAUUUAGUCAAUGGCAUUUACUUGCAGGAAAGGCAAGCUGGGACUGUAGUGGUAAGAGAUCGGAGCCUGCUCCCCCACCCUGGGGUUGGGGUAGAAGAGACAAGAGAGAAGCAAGUUAUUUUUAAAUAGAUUUUUUUUUUUCCACCACUGCCAUGUUCCUAAACAGAAAGCUUGUUUCUAAAUUCCACGUCUGUGUUACGUUUUAACACUCAGGCACAGUGUUUAAUACAUCGGUAUUAAAAGGGAAAAAAAAUGGCAAAAGUCAGCUCUAGUUUCAAUAUGAGCAAACCCAGUGAGUUUGUGCCUCUGUUGCUCAAACAGAACCACACGGCCACCUCUGCAAGUGUGUGGUAUUUAUAUGUGUCUGUGUAAGAAUAAACAUGCACAUAUAGGGAGAGAGGAAAGAGAA